GUCAGACACGGUGGCACUUGUCUGUAAUCCUAGUGACUUGGGAGGCUGAGGCAGGAGGAUUGCAAGUUUGAGGCCAGCCACAGCAACUUAGUGAGACCCUGUCUCAA
Molecule: small RNA, 107 nt
Filed under: Marmota monax (woodchuck)
Lineage: Eukaryota; Metazoa; Chordata; Mammalia; Rodentia; Sciuridae
Source: RNAcentral